GACGAACGCUGGCGGCGUGCUUAACACAUGCAAGUCGAACGGAAAGGCCCUGCUUUUGUGGGGUGCUCGAGUGGCGAACGGGUGAGUAACACGUGAGUAACCUGCCCUUGACUUUGGGAUAACUUCAGGAAACUGGGGCUAAUACCGGAUAGGAGCUCCUGCUGCAUGGUGGGGGUUGGAAAGUUUCGGCGGUUGGGGAUGGACUCGCGGCUUAUCAGCUUGUUGGUGGGGUAGUGGCUUACCAAGGCUUUGACGGGUAGCCGGCCUGAGAGGGUGACCGGCCACAUUGGGACUGAGAUACGGCCCAGACUCCUACGGGAGGCAGCAGUGGGGAAUAUUGCACAAUGGGCGGAAGCCUGAUGCAGCAACGCCGCGUGCGGGAUGACGGCCUUCGGGUUGUAAACCGCUUUCGCCUGUGACGAAGCGUGAGUGACGGUAAUGGGUAAAGAAGCACCGGCUAACUACGUGCCAGCAGCCGCGGUGAUACGUAGGGUGCGAGCGUUGUCCGGAUUUAUUGGGCGUAAAGGGCUCGUAGGUGGUUGAUCGCGUCGGAAGUGUAAUCUUGGGGCUUAACCCUGAGCGUGCUUUCGAUACGGGUUGACUUGAGGAAGGUAGGGGAGAAUGGAAUUCCUGGUGGAGCGGUGGAAUGCGCAGAUAUCAGGAGGAACACCAGUGGCGAAGGCGGUUCUCUGGGCCUUUCCUGACGCUGAGGAGCGAAAGCGUGGGGAGCGAACAGGCUUAGAUACCCUGGUAGUCCACGCUGUAAACGGUGGGUACUAGGUGUGGGGUCCAUUCCACGGGUUCCGUGCCGUAGCUAACGCUUUAAGUACCCCGCCUGGGGAGUACGGCCGCAAGGCUAAAACUCAAAGGAAUUGACGGGGCCCCGCACAAGCGGCGGAGCAUGCGGAUUAAUUCGAUGCAACGCGUAGAACCUUACCUGGGUUUGACAUGGAUCGGGAGUGCUCAGAGAUGGGUGUGCCUCUUUGGGGUCGGUUCACAGGUGGUGCAUGGCUGUCGUCAGCUCGUGUCGUGAGAUGUUGGGUUAAGUCCCGCAACGAGCGCAACCCUUGUUCACUGUUGCCAGCACGUUAUGGUGGGGACUCAGUGGAGACCGCCGGGGUCAACUCGGAGGAAGGUGGGGAUGACGUCAAGUCAUCAUGCCCCUUAUGUCCAGGGCUUCACGCAUGCUACAAUGGCUGGUACAGAGAGUGGCGAGCCUGUGAGGGUGAGCGAAUCUCGGAAAGCCGGUCUCAGUUCGGAUUGGGGUCUGCAACUCGACCUCAUGAAGUCGGAGUCGCUAGCAAUCGCAGAUCAGCAACGCUGCGGUGAAUACGUUCCCGGGGCU
This 1345-nucleotide ribosomal RNA is filed under the name uncultured bacterium. Its description in RNAcentral is "partial 16S ribosomal RNA". It matches the Rfam family "Bacterial small subunit ribosomal RNA", at positions 28 to 1381 of the family's 1533-position model. The record is from RNAcentral.